Non-coding RNA from Bos taurus (domestic cattle), 74 nucleotides. The record is from Rfam. NCBI's taxonomy places the organism in Eukaryota, Metazoa, Chordata, Mammalia, Artiodactyla, Bovidae.
GUAUGUGAAAGUGUUGAAUAGAAGGCUUACUUUGGAAUGGCUAUACCCGUUUAAAAAAAAGACUGAAAAUACAC